This 124-nucleotide small RNA is filed under the name Marmota monax (woodchuck). Lineage: Eukaryota; Metazoa; Chordata; Mammalia; Rodentia; Sciuridae. The record is from RNAcentral.
GGGCAUGGUGGCUCAUGCCUGUAAUCCCAGUAACUUGGGAGGCUGAGGCAGGAGGAUCACAGUUUCGAAGCCAGCCUCAGCAACUUAGUAAGGCUGCAAGCAACCUAGUGAGACCCUGUCUCAA